GACUCCUACGGGAGGCAGCAGUGGGGAAUAUUGGGCAAUGGGCGAAAGCCUGACCCAGCAACGCCGCGUGAAGGAUGAAGGUCUUCGGAUUGUAAACUUCUUUGAUUAGGGAAGAAUUUUUGACCUACCUAAAGAACAAGUCACGGCUAACUACGUGCCAGCAGCCGCGGUAAU
Molecule: ribosomal RNA, 174 nt
Filed under: uncultured bacterium
Lineage: Bacteria
Description: partial 16S ribosomal RNA
Rfam family: Bacterial small subunit ribosomal RNA
Source: RNAcentral